RNAcentral lists this long non-coding RNA (449 nucleotides) under Androctonus crassicauda. The record is from RNAcentral. Lineage: Eukaryota; Metazoa; Arthropoda; Arachnida; Scorpiones; Buthidae.
GAUCGUCAGACCAUUUGGGUAUUAUUACAGGAACAUGCAGGGGUUUCCUAUAUACUGUAGUUACUAUCUUGUUUUCUACACACCCUACUUUAAAUUUAAAGGCAUAUACUACAAACAAACCAAAGGAGUCCUGAUAUGGCAGCCCCAUGGCAGGUCCCCUAGCUGAAAUUGUACUUAGGGAAGUUGAGAAACCUGUCCUUAUUAUGCUACAACCUACACUAAAAUUUUUCAUUGGGUAUAUCGAUGACAUCAUCGUAGUAUGGAAGGAUGAAGCUGACAUGAAUCAACUCAUAGAAGCCCUAAUACUAAACAGUAUAUGGCUUCAAGCUAAAGGGAGACCAAGUCAGCAAGCAAGAAGUACAUUAUUUUGACAUACAUAUAAGGUGUGUAGAAAACAGGAUGGUGACUACAGUGUGUAGGAGGCCCUUGUGUGUUCCUGUAGUAGUACC